AUAGGCAAAACUGAAAUGGAACAGGGGCAGAAAAUAGCACACUUUUACUCUACGCAACUGUUGCUUUUUCAUGCAUGUUUUUAAGCGUCACACUGAGCCUGGAAGUUAACACAGAAUCAGAUCAAUCUUCAGGAAUUUUACUGGGAUAAUUAUCCAAAUAAAUUGCAAGCAUUCUAUCCAAAUGGAGCUCUUUCUGAGAUGAAGAGAAUUCUCAAUGUCAAGAUUUGAACAAGAAGAGAAUGGAAUACACAAUAUGGACAUCCAUAAAAAUUCAUCAGAGAGCAUUUUACUACUGAGCUGCAAAGGGAAAAACUUAAAAUGGAUAUGAAAAGUGAAGAAAGUGAUCAUAGGAGAAAACCAUUUCAGAUAUCUGUGGAUAUCUCUCCAGAACUUCAUGUAUAUAUGACAAGAGCACCUCAAAGGCAGCAGCCUCAAGGAGCAGCCAUGGCCCCAGACUUGUCGCACGGAUGCAGAAAACUUAAUGGAGGAGGCUGAGGUCAGAAUGGGAAGAGUUUUUAAAAAAUAAAAAGGGGAGCUAAUAUGUGAGGAA
Molecule: long non-coding RNA, 550 nt
Filed under: Homo sapiens (human)
Lineage: Eukaryota; Metazoa; Chordata; Mammalia; Primates; Hominidae
Description: mir-99a-let-7c cluster host gene
Source: RNAcentral